UCCAGUUCCUGUCAUUGCUCAUCUUUUGCUAAAGCUGAAAACUCAAAGCAAAAGAAACCAUGAGGCUGUCCUUUCCUGUCCUGCUGGUCACUCUGGCCUUUUGCUGCUACGAGGUCAAUGCAGAAGUCUGUCCAUCUAUUCUUGUGACAUUGAGAUCCUUCACACUGGGUACUAUACCAGAGUUGAAGAGCAUUCUUGAGAAAUAUAAUCCACCAGAAGCAGCUCUUUCGGCCCCACUAGAAGUGAAGGAAUGCAUAAAUGAAAUCUCCAUGAAGGACAGACACCAUAUUCUCCAUAUAUUGAUGAGAGUAACUUCCACAUGUGCCUCCUAGGUUGAAAAAGAAUCUUACACACAUUGAUCUCUGACGUUCCAUGUGACCUGAUCUUCCCAGAAAAUGUAAAGGUUUCAACAUCUUGCUUCAAUAAAUCACUCACCCUGCA
Molecule: long non-coding RNA, 441 nt
Organism: Rhinolophus ferrumequinum (greater horseshoe bat)
Lineage: Eukaryota; Metazoa; Chordata; Mammalia; Chiroptera; Rhinolophidae
Exons: 3
Source: RefSeq, a predicted model, not a curated record